RNAcentral lists this non-coding RNA (573 nucleotides) under Pongo abelii (Sumatran orangutan). Lineage: Eukaryota; Metazoa; Chordata; Mammalia; Primates; Hominidae. The record is from RNAcentral.
GCUCUAUUCCAGAAGCAGUGUGGAGCACAAAGAAUCCCUAAUCCCUGACAUUAAGAAAGAAGAAAAAUAUUCCUAGGACGAUCCUGGAGAGCAAAGGUCAUUAGCAGUCACUUGACUUUCCUUGGAUUUCUCAACUGCAGUAGUCACACGGUCUGCUGAAAAUGAAUUCUCUUUAUUUUCAUCUGAUUUCAAGGAAUUAUGGUUUUCAGUGAUUUCUUCAUUUGGAUCUAUUUUGAGACAGAGUAAUAGCAUUAAAACCCCCUUCUGAAUUAAUAAGGUAAGAUGGGCUUAAAAUCACCCAAUUCAAUUCACUAUUGGAUUCUUUGGAGCUGUUAAUCUAUUCAGUGAAAAGAACAAGAACUUUGGAGCUCAAGAUUUAACUAUGGCUCCAUCACUGACCUUGAUAUUUUAUGGGUGCAAAGGAAAUUAUAUGUCAAAAGCAAUGGAGAGAAAACAUUUGAGAAAAUGGAAGAAAUGCUGAGACACUGGAGUCUACCCUGAAAGAUAAAGUUUCACCUGAGGAGAUCUGCAAAUUAGUAGCUUUUUGCCAGAAGGCAUUCUCCAAUCUAUGCA